AUGAAGAAGUGCGCGUCGGAGCUGGAGCUGGAGGCCUUCAUCCGCGGGCGGGGGCUCGCCGCCGAGCAGAAGCCCGGCAGCGCCGCCGCGGGCGCGAAUGGUCCCUACGGCCUCUUCUCCGCCGCCGACCUCUCCAGCGCCUUCGGCUUCGCCGACUCGCAGGCCCUCAAUGGAACCAUUCAGAAUCACCUGUGGCCUCAGUCCCCGAACCUCGGCGCACGGCAUCCCGCAGUCUCCACGACAAUCGAGUCGCAGUCGUCAUUCUAUGCAGCAGCGAGUCCCACGUCGGCCACCAAUCUGAGUAUCAAAGAGAGCCAAGCAUUCGGAGGCACGAGCGGCUCGGACUCCGACAGCGAGUCGAUGUUCGACGACGGUGGCUUGUGCGACAACGGCACGAACCCAACGGACGUUAAGAGGAUGAGACGGAUGGUGUCGAACCGGGAGUCGGCGCGGCGGUCGAGGAAGAGGAAGCAAGCUCACUUGGUUGAGCUGGAGACGCAGGUGGAUCAGCUCCGGGGUGACAACGCGUCGAUCUUCAAGCAGCUGACGGACGCGAACCAGCAGUUCACGACGGCGGUGACGGACAACCGGAUCCUCAAGUCGGACGUGGAGGCGCUGCGGGUGAAGGUGAAGCUGGCGGAGGACAUGGUGGCGCGCGGCGCGAUGUCGUGCGGGCUGGGCCACCUGGGGCUGUCCCCGGCGGCGCUGAACCCGUGCCGCGUCCCGGACGUGCUGGCCGGUCUGGACUUCCUCCCCGGCGGCGCCGACGACGCCUGCUUCGGCAGCCUGUCCCCGGCUGAGCAGGUGCAGAGCUCGCCGAUGCAGAGCAUGGCCAGCCUCGAGAGCCUCGAGCACAGCAGCCGGAUGCAGCACGGCGGCGGCGCCGACGCCGUCGACGUCUGGGGCUGGGACUCCAGCUCCAACGGCGCCAUGUCCAAGUGA
Molecule: ribosomal RNA, 942 nt
Filed under: Triticum aestivum (bread wheat)
Lineage: Eukaryota; Viridiplantae; Streptophyta; Magnoliopsida; Poales; Poaceae
Description: partial small subunit ribosomal RNA
Source: RNAcentral